This 253-nucleotide ribosomal RNA is filed under the name uncultured bacterium. RNAcentral's name for it is "partial 16S ribosomal RNA". It matches the Rfam family "Bacterial small subunit ribosomal RNA", at positions 524 to 776 of the family's 1533-position model. The record is from RNAcentral.
UACGAGAGGCCCAAACGUUAUUCGGAAUUACUGGGCUUAAAGAGUUCGUAGGCGGCAUGACAAGUCGGGUGUGAAAGCCCUCGGCUCAACCGAGGAAUUGCGCUCUAAACUGUCGUGCUCGAGGAAUCUAGAGGUGAGCGGAACUGAUGGUGGAGCGGUGAAAUGCGUUGAUAUCAUCAGGAACACCGGAGGCGAAGGCGGCUCACUGGGGAUUUUCUGACGCUGAGGAACGAAAGCCAGGGGAGCGAACGGG